AUUGAACGCUGGCGGCGUGCCUAACACAUGCAAGUCGAGCGGUAACAGGUGUAGCAAUACAUGCUGACGAGCGGCGGACGGGUGAGCAAUGCUUGGGAAUCUGUCUAUUAGUGGGGGACAACCCGGGGAAACUCGGGCUAAUACCGCAUACGCACCAUGGUGGAAAGCCGGGGACCGCAAGGCCUGGCGCUAAUAGAUGAGCCCAAGUCGGAUUAGCUAGUUGGGAGGUAAUGGCUCACCAAGGCGACGAUCCGUAGCUGGUCUGAGAGGACGACCAGCCACACCGGAACUGAGACACGGUCCGGACUCCUACGGGAGCAGCAGUGGGGAAUAUUGGACAAUGGGGGAAACCCUGAUCCAGCGACGCCGCGUGGGUGAAGAAGGCCUGCGGGUUGUAAAGCCCUUUCAGUGGGAAGAAAGCCUCGUUCUAAUACAGCGGGUCUUGACGUAACUCACAAAGAAGCACCGGCUAACUCUGUGCCAGCCGCCGCGGUAAU
This 497-nucleotide ribosomal RNA is filed under the name uncultured bacterium. Its description in RNAcentral is "bacterial SSU rRNA". It matches the Rfam family "Bacterial small subunit ribosomal RNA", at positions 29 to 524 of the family's 1533-position model. The record is from RNAcentral.